ACCCACUACACGACGGUUCACUUACAGCGACCUACGGUUGGUUGCUAAAACGGCCUUCAGCGACCUACGGUUGGUCGCUAAAAACUUUUAGCGACCCAUAAGGAUGGUCGCUGUAAGUGCCGUCGCUAAAGGCUUUAGCGACCGACAUCUUUUUAGCGACCAACCAUCCGUUGCUAAUAUUGUAUAUUUAGCGACCAACCGUGGGUUGUUGUACUAUAGAUUUAGCAACCAACCGUAAGUCGUCAUACUAUACAUUUAGCAACCAACAGAAAGUCGCCCUUUUAUAGUUGUUAUUAAUAAAAAAUAUACAUUUAAUUAAGCACCACAAAUCACAGAUUUUUAUACACAAAUCAUAAAGACAUACACAGUUAAUCAGUAUACCACAGUCAUAAAUCCAUCACAUAAACACAAAAGCACCACAAUUAUAUAUUCACAAAAGUAUCACAAUUAUAAUAUCAUUCACAACUAGAUCAUUUACAAAUAGCUAGCUAGAUCAUUCACAAAAGCUCCAGAGAUGAUCAGUCACAAAAGCACCACAGCGACAUCACUCCAGCUUGAAGCAGUUCUUCUCGUCUUCUGUUUUGUCUUACUUGUCUUCCUUCUUCUCUUGCUGUUUAAGAAGAGAAAUAAAGAAACCUUCAUAUUUCCACAUACAUACAUUACUAGACUAGUCAAGAUUCGUAAAUACAGGAUAGCAGUUCAUGUGAACUGGGUUUUGUUGCUUUGGGCAUAUUUCAUUUUCACCAAACCAGUGUAUCCAGACCACAAAUGGGUACACAACAAUUUGACUCAAUACCUGCUUUGUAUAAAGUAUUUGUGUGCUCUCACCAGGUAAUGUUCUACUAUUUCCAUUCCAUAAGAUCAAUUGUGCUUGUGGAACAUAAAGAACUCCAUAUGCUAUCCUAAACAGCAGGGGCAGAGCUCAGAAAUCGGUGGAUCCUAGAGCUGUGGUUUGUUUAGUUGAGUUGUUUUCUUUCUAUUCUACACAGAAGACAGCAUAGCAAGAUCCUUCAUUGGAGCAUACAAACUCCAGAUAAGGUGGAGCUCAGAGCUGGGGCUAAACGUGGGCCUUAUGCCCUGUUUGGAUCCAUCAGCUACUAAUAGUUUGCUAGCUAAUAGUUCAUAGCUAAUAUUAGCUAGUUUGGUCCAACUAGUGAAAUAGUUGUUAGUUGGGUAUUCAGAUAACAAUUAGCUAGACCUGUUUGGAUCCAAAGAGCUAAUUAUUAACAUCUAAUUAUUAAAUCUUGCAAUGGUUUUUUUGUAGCUGUGCAUAGCCAUUGCUUGCAUAUACUAACUGUGUAUUUGCAUGAAGAUUUGGUGAUAGAUAAUAUAUUUAUUCUUAUUUAAUCAAGGUGAAGCUGAACAAUGCUAUAGCCUAGAGGCAACAUGAAUUUCAUUGCAUCACAAUACAGAGACCUUCACUGGAACCCAUAAAAGAACAUACCUCUCCCUGGUUGUGCAAUGAUGCCAACAAAUCUUUAACAGAUGGAUCAUUGGGAUCAACACCAGGAAGCUGUUAUUUUACACAUAAAAGGGCCAAUAAAUUAUUGAAGCUACAACUAAAAUGUAUGCGCUAGAAACAUAUCAGUGUCACUAUAAAGCAGUGGUUUUUCAUUUGUCACUACUAGAAUUAAUUGAUAGCAACAAAUACUGUAUGCGCUAGAACUGUAGAAGCUGCAAACAUAAGAGAAAACACACCCAACGCUAAGUCAGGGUCAACUGCACUAGCUUCUGCCAUAGCAGAGUCAGUCACAGCUGCAGAUCCUGAAGCACCACCCUCCAUUGACAUUGCAAGUGCCUGCUGUAGUAAAUCGUCAUCAUCAUGUGGUCACAGCUAUGUUUGCAGCUAUGGGCGCCCUAUCAAAAGAAUGUAAGCUGACAUAAGUAUUUCUAAUGUAACCAUAUACAUAAUAUGGCAUAGCAAAGAUAUAUAUAUGUACAAUAGAGUAGCAUCGCUGGAUUACACAGCAACCACCAAGGCUAUUAUUUAGCCCCACGCAAAGAUAUAUAUAUUGGCGAGGCAGAUGUGAGCUCAUAAAUGUGUUUAGGUAGAAAAGGAGUGGAUUCAAAACUGAAUGAUUACAUUAGUUCGCAUAGGAGUUCAGUGAAAAAUUUAUGUAUGUCCUAUAGCCAUCUAAAACAUUCAGGUAGCAGUAUGAAACUUUUGACCAUAGCGAGGACACAUCUUUUAUUAUUUAUUUUUGCAUCAAUCAUGUAUCCACAAUCUAUGGAGCACAAAGUCCACCACAAGAUCAUUACACAGCUAAAAAAUGAAGGAGAUGUUUACAACAGCACACAAUUAUAGAAUGAGAUGAAAAGAUCUUGAAUUUAUUAGCCCUUCCUUUUUUGCAAGAAAUUGAUACUAUUAACACUUAAGCAUACCCCAGAGAGCACUCUUAAGCUUUUCAACUCAUAUUGGAGGACUCGAUGAACCUAGUGUCUGGAAGCCACCCACAAUAAUAGGAUGUGUGCUAGAAAUAUGCGGAAACUAUCCAUACUGAAUAAUGUGUAAUAAAAGAUAAUCGUUAAUGAUUAAACUGUAUUGAUCUCGCAACAAUUGAGGAGUUGAUUUGCACCUUCUAACAAGUAAUUAAGUACCAAAUGGAGGAUAGGGAAAUGCAGGGAAUAAAUCGUACAAUGGGAAAAUGAUAAGUAAAUAUGUAAGAAAAACAGAUACAGUUAAGUUAACAAUAUAAAAUCGGGAUGGCAAGGUCAUAAGCUAUAUAUUAAAAGAGAAAGUUUGCACUAAAUAUAUAGGGUAAGCACUAUAUGGGUGAUCAGGAAUCAGGUUAGGAGUAAUAGUAGAAGAAGAUAUUACUCGGAGCUUGACAACACACUCCACGACUGAAAAAAUGAAAAUCUUGCAACGAACGACUGGAAACUCGGUGAACAGAUACCGCACACCCCCACCAUCAUCCCAAAAUUCUUACUUUGGCAAGUUCUCAAUAACAAAUGUCAUGUAGCCAAUAUGAAAUGUGGUCUGUCCUUUCACAUAAUUUUUUCAUAAACCAAAAGAGGGGUAGGUAGGAGAGAAGAUGAGCAUAGCAUACCUUUCAAUAACCAACUUCACGUUGUAAUGUGCAGUUUGCAGGCCUGAGAGUAGUCAUUUGUCAAAUGCAACAUUCUGUAAAAUUCAAGUAUUAGAUCGCAAGCUCAUUCUAUCUAGGUGCAGAAACAUAGUUUAUGACACUGAAGUGGUACACACCUAGAGACCAAAUAUUGGAUUUAGUACCAUAUGGUAUAUCAGCAAGAAGUUCUAGGCACAUAUAACUCGGUGUUACUACCACCUUUGUUGGAGAAAAUACGGUAACAAGAAACACCAGCAAAUAAAUGCAAGACUAAAAAUUUUUCAAGUAUACUUAUAGAAGACACAAGAUCAUCUGAUGUCAAUACAUUGGCAAGACCAAAGUUACCUGCAUUUGCACAUAUUCAGAAUGAAUAUCAUUGGGAUUUCUGAAUUCAUACAUAAAGUAUUGUACUUUUUCUAAGCUUAAGUCACUGACCAAGGCAUAUGCUUUUAUCUCUGGCAAUAAAUAUACUGGAGCACUGAAAUAAACCAAGAAGUUUCAAUUGGGGCUAAUUACAUGCCUUAGGACGGAGGGGAAAUACCAUGUACUUGAAAUCAAUCGAGCACUGCUACUGACCUUGAAAUUUCCAAUAACAAUUCAAAUGUAACAACCUUGAAAUUUUAUAAGCGCAGAACAAUUGGCAGCAGCGACCAACUAACCGCUCCACAUUGGCUCGCGCUCUCCCGUCGCCGUGAGGAGACCUGGACCCCUGGGGCGGCCGCGGGCGGUUUCCUUGAUCUGCUGACUCGCCGCACCUGGCACUAGCGCACCUCUGCAUGUUGCAGGCUUGCACUGCAUCAGCAAGCGUGCAAACUCUAAGGGAAUGCUUGGUCCCCUAUUUGGGUCCGUCCCUGCAACCUGCUUCCAAGAACCACAACAAAUGCAGGAGGGAGCAGGGAGAUGGGGGUGGAUUCACAGACCGAGAAAAAGGGCGGUACCAUGGCGAGAGCGGAUCCUGGAUAGGCGCGAGCGAGAAGUUGUAGUUUGCGUCGAGGUCGGCGGAGCAAGGAGUUACAAAUGGCGAGAGCUUGACGACGAAGUGUCAGUCGGAAUCCGCGUCCCUGCUCUGCCACCUACGCCCUGCGGUGCUACUGUUGUUGCCCUGGCGGCUAGGGUUGAGGGCGGAGGCGGCAUGGUGGCGCCGUCGAGAGAAGGGGAGAAGAGGGGGUAGGGUUUGCUUUUUUCAAUAGAAGUGAUUUUGAUUUGGACGAGUUGCUGAGUUGGGCCUGUUCGGGCCAAAUUUUUUUAGCCACCAACAGUCACAUGUCAAUCAAUAGCAACCAACCGCCGGAUGUCCACCUGUCUCUAUAGCGACCAACCUUGAGUAGUUAAAUUUCUAGACUUUUAGCGACCGAUGGCCCGUCGCUACAAAUGCAUUUAGCGACCAACUGUCGGUACAUAACUUUUAGCGACCAACCGUCUGUCCCUAAUAAGGGUCGCUAAAGAUCAACCGUCGUAUAGUGACCAUCUAGCCACGUCUGGACAUGCGCACAACACGGUGAACGGGCACUAGGGUC
Molecule: long non-coding RNA, 4585 nt
Filed under: Zea mays
Lineage: Eukaryota; Viridiplantae; Streptophyta; Magnoliopsida; Poales; Poaceae
Description: long non-coding RNA (ZMAY_LNC005413)
Source: RNAcentral